CCUACGGGUGGCAGCAGUGGGGAAUAUUGCACAAUGGGGGAAACCCUGAUGCAGCGACGCCGCGUGAGUGAAGAAGUAACUCGUUAUGUAAAGCUCUAUCAGCAGGGAAGAAAAUGACGGUACCUGAGUAAGAAGCCCCGGCUAACUACGUGCCAGCAGCCGCGGUAAUACGUAGGGGGCAAGCGUUAUCCGGAUUUACUGGGUGUAAGGGGAGCGUAGACGGCAGUGCAAGUCUGGAGUGAAAGGCGGGGGCUCAACCCCGGGACUGCUCUUGGAACUGCGCGGCUGGAGUGCAGGAGGGGCAGGCGGAAUGCCUGGUGUAGCGGUGAAAUGCGUAGAUAUCAGGAGGAACACCGGUGGCGAAGGCGGCCUGCUGGACUGCGACUGACGUUGAGGCCCGAAAGCGUGGGGAGCAAACAGGAUUAGAUACCCUGGUAGUC
This 440-nucleotide ribosomal RNA is filed under the name uncultured bacterium. RNAcentral's name for it is "partial 16S ribosomal RNA". It matches the Rfam family "Bacterial small subunit ribosomal RNA", at positions 338 to 795 of the family's 1533-position model. The record is from RNAcentral.